This 253-nucleotide ribosomal RNA is filed under the name uncultured prokaryote. Its description in RNAcentral is "partial 16S ribosomal RNA". It matches the Rfam family "Bacterial small subunit ribosomal RNA", at positions 524 to 776 of the family's 1533-position model. The record is from RNAcentral.
UACGGGGGGGGCAAGCGUUGUUCGGAAUUACUGGGCGUAAAGGGAGCGUAGGCGGGUUAUCAAGUUGGAGGUGAAAGCCCAGGGCUCAACCUUGGAAUUGCCUUCAAAACUGAUAGCCUAGAGUAUGGAAGAGGUAAGUGGAACUCCGAGUGUAGAGGUGAAAUUCGUAGAUAUUCGGAAGAACACCAGUGGCGAAGGCGACUUACUGGUCCAUGACUGACGCUGAGGCUCGAAAGCGUGGGGAGCAAACAGG